RNAcentral lists this ribosomal RNA (465 nucleotides) under uncultured bacterium. RNAcentral's name for it is "partial 16S ribosomal RNA". It matches the Rfam family "Bacterial small subunit ribosomal RNA", at positions 28 to 507 of the family's 1533-position model. The record is from RNAcentral.
GACGAACGCUGGCGGCGUGCUUAACACAUGCAAGUCGAACGGAAAGGCCCUGCUUGCAGGGUACUCGAGUGGCGAACGGGUGAGUAACACGUGGGUGAUCUGCCCUGCACUUCGGGAUAAGCCUGGGAAGCUGGGUCUAAUACCGGAUAGGAGCCAUUUUUGGUGUGAUGGUUGGAAAGUUUUUUCGGUGUAGGAUGAGCUCGCGGCCUAUCAGCUUGUUGGUGGGGUAAUGGCCUACCAAGGCGGCGACGGGUAGCCGGCCUGAGAGGGUGGACGGCCACAUUGGGACUGAGAUACGGCCCAGACUCCUACGGGAGGCAGCAGUGGGGAAUAUUGCACAAUGGGCGCAAGCCUGAUGCAGCGACGCCGCGUGGGGGAUGACGGCCUUCGGGUUGUAAACUCCUUUCGCUAGGGACGAAGCUUUUUGUGACGGUACCUAGAGAAGAAGCACCGGCUAACUACGUG